RNAcentral lists this ribosomal RNA (375 nucleotides) under uncultured bacterium. RNAcentral's name for it is "bacterial SSU rRNA". It matches the Rfam family "Bacterial small subunit ribosomal RNA", at positions 284 to 671 of the family's 1533-position model. The record is from RNAcentral.
UAGCCGGCCUGAGAGGGCGACCGGCCACACUGGGACUGAGACACGGCCCAGACUCCUACGGGAGGCAGCAGUGGGGAAUAUUGCGCAAUGGGCGAAAGCCUGACGCAGCAACGCCGCGUGCGGGAUGAAGGCCUUCGGGUUGUAAACCGCUUUCAGCAGGGAAGAAGCGAAAGUGACGGUACCUGCAAAAGAAGCACCGGCUAACUACGUGCCAGCAGCCGCGGUAAUACGUAGGGUGCAAGCGUUGUCCGGAUUUAUUGGGCGUAAAGAGCUCGUAGGCGGUUAGUCACGUCGGAUGUGAAAACUCAGUGCUUAACACUGAGCCUGCAUUCGAUACGGGCUGACUAGAGUAUUGUAGGGGAGAUGGGAAUUCCU